This 211-nucleotide unclassified non-coding RNA is filed under the name plant metagenome. RNAcentral describes it as "partial contains small subunit ribosomal RNA, internal transcribed spacer 1, and 5.8S ribosomal RNA". The record is from RNAcentral.
UUUCCGUAGGUGAACCUGCGGAAGGAUCAUUCACAAUAAAGUGUUUUAUGGCACUUUUUAAAAAUCCAUAUCCACCUUGUGUGCAAUGUUAGAUCUCGUCAAUCUUGGCGAGAUUUUUAUACAUCAACUCAUUCUUUAACUAAUUUGUCUGAAAAAUAUUAUGAAUACUUAAUUCAAAAUACAACUUUCAACAACGGAUCUCUUGGCUCUC